UCUCUAUUCGCGCUUCAAGCCUAGCGCUCGUUCCAGUUAGUAUAUAUCUCGGUGGAGAGGACCUAACUUUGUUCCGUUCCUCUAUUUACGGACCUUGGCGCAACAUCGCCAACCACGCGAGAUUUUAUCGCGCGCGUAAGCUGAGCUUGCCAACAGCUGGGAUCGAAAUGGCUCUUGCACCGCUCUUGCACCGCUCUCAUUGCACUUUCCGUACUCGGGUGUAAUUCGGGAACGAAAAAGAGAGAGGGAAGUGCUUUCUUUGUUUAUUCGCGCUUCAAAUGGAAGUUUAGGUAGAGACGCCGGGAAGGACAAAUUUUUGAUAUAUCGCUUUUGGACAUUAUACAUGACUUAAUAUUUUAUAAUAUCUCGUAUUUUGGUUCAAACCUUUCUUCUUUUUUUACAAACAUGUAUCUGAUAUACCGAUUGUUUAACAGCGUGAUAUUUGUAAUGAUAAAUGCGACCAUCGUGUUGUACGUCUGUCAGCGUUUUUUCCGAGCAUUGAGAGAACACUACCAGAUCAUGGCUGAAGCUGAGCGAUUUAAUACGAUCAUUUCCGAGUCACGUGCGACGCUUGCUUAUAUGACCUCGAAGGUAUCCGCGGGAAUGGAUCAGAUGAAAGAAGACAUCGCCAAAGAAUUGUCUAUUACCGAUCACUUGACAAAACUUAGCUCGAAAGUAGGUCUGUUGCUGCAACGUUACUCCGGAUUGGAAGAAGAAUUGAUCGAGCUCGUACGAAUGGACCACAACACGAAGAGCGUGAGGGUUGAGACGCCGGUUGACAUCAACGAGGAAGUGAGAAGUAUCCUCACGGCGGCAGGGGCAAAACAAGCACCUCCAUCGGAACAUCCGCGUGCGCCGAAGAAGCUGCGAAUAUCGACCGCCACUUCCGUGGCAACGAGGGAUCCUCCUCCGUCGCAGAAUACCAUCGCCAAGUUCAUCGCGUCGCAGUCGUACGACCUCUGCGAUCUCUCGUACGUAACGACGUUGGAGAGACAGGAGAGACCACGUACGCCCGUUUACCCGGAAGUGCAGCUGCUGAACGACUCUCGAGCUACAGCCAACGCGAAACCCAUUGGCUUCCGGCCAUCGUGGAAGUGCGAAGCUUAGACUGAUUCUCGAUGACAAUGCCCGAUCACAUGUUACAAAAGUCAUCAAGGAAACACUGACAGAGCUCGAAUGGGAGGUUCUUCCGCAUACCGCAUUCUCCAGACCUGGCUGCGUCUGAUUACAACUUGUUCAAGACACACGCUUUCGAAAUAACGAAAACAUUCCGAAACCGAAGUCAGCGUUGGGUAGUAUCUAGAUACAGCAUCUAGAUACACCCCUGCGCAUCCGAGCGCGU
RNAcentral lists this unclassified non-coding RNA (1342 nucleotides) under Harpegnathos saltator (Jerdon's jumping ant). RNAcentral's name for it is "uncharacterized LOC105186571, transcript variant X3". The record is from RNAcentral. Lineage: Eukaryota; Metazoa; Arthropoda; Insecta; Hymenoptera; Formicidae.